This 123-nucleotide small RNA is filed under the name Marmota monax (woodchuck). The record is from RNAcentral. Lineage: Eukaryota; Metazoa; Chordata; Mammalia; Rodentia; Sciuridae.
GCUGGGCUCAGUGGCGUAUGCCUGUAAUCCAGAGGCUCUGGAGGCUGGGGCAGGAAGAUAACAAGUUCAAAGCCAGCCUCAGAAAUGGCAAGGCAUAAGCAACUCAGUUAGACCCUGUCUCUA